Molecule: long non-coding RNA, 302 nt
Filed under: Mytilus galloprovincialis (Mediterranean mussel)
Lineage: Eukaryota; Metazoa; Mollusca; Bivalvia; Mytilida; Mytilidae
Source: RNAcentral
UUUUUGUAUGGUUCCGCUGGCUCUUUCGGUUCUUCCUGCUCUAUAUUUUGUUGAACAGGAGUAGCAUUUAUGGGUUUGUUCUUUUUUUUUUUUUGGCUCUGUAUAAACUGCCCCGUUAUUAUCUUCUCCAGAGGAUAGAUCUUCAACUAAUUUAUCCCAUUUUUCGUUUGUAGUGGAUGGGCCAGAGACAUUAUGAUGGUCUUUUGUUAACCAGGUCUCCAAUAUUUUACUUUUAAAUUAGUAACAGUUGAAAUGUUGUUUGUGUGAUGCUAAAUGUCCAGUGACAAAUAUUUCGUGAAUGC